RNAcentral lists this ribosomal RNA (507 nucleotides) under Triticum aestivum (bread wheat). RNAcentral describes it as "partial small subunit ribosomal RNA". The record is from RNAcentral. Lineage: Eukaryota; Viridiplantae; Streptophyta; Magnoliopsida; Poales; Poaceae.
AUGAAUAUUUUUUACUUAGCAGAUCAAUAUAAACAUAUUGGCUAUCUAUUUACCAAUUCUGAAUUUAAAGCACUUUAUUUUAUGGCCUUCAGUAAAAGUUCAGUCAUUGUUGGCUGGAAGACAUCUUCAAUACGCCGUCAACACGAGCUUACCAAGAAAGGAGAUUUUGUGGAUGAUGUAAGAUAUCCACAUGUUGUAUAUGUGGAAAAACCAAAGGCUCGGGAUGUUGAUUUUUCGGAUGAAAUGAUUUAUCAGGCAAAAACUACAAGUGAAAUGGAAGAAGUAACGCUCAAAAGCCUGAAUAGAAUUCCUUGGCAAAGGGUAGAUGUUAGCUUCAAGAGAAGUAGACAAUGGAUUUUUGCCCAUAGCACCAUUCAGGUCCAGUUGUCGUUGCCUUCACUUGCUUUGUCGUUUACCCAUCUGUCAGCUCGCCGAUCCCCUGACUUGCUGUCAAGUGCAGAUUCUAGGAUAUUAACAUUUGCAGCCAUACAUUGGUUUCAAUGGUGA